GGGGAUAUAGCUCAGUGGCACAGCACAUGCCUAGCAUGUGUGAGGCCCUGGGUUCGAGUCCCAUUAUCACAA
This 72-nucleotide transfer RNA is filed under the name Heterocephalus glaber (naked mole-rat). It matches the Rfam family "tRNA". From Rfam's summary of the family: Transfer RNA (tRNA) molecules are approximately 80 nucleotides in length. Lineage: Eukaryota; Metazoa; Chordata; Mammalia; Rodentia; Bathyergidae. The record is from Rfam by way of RNAcentral.